Molecule: ribosomal RNA, 253 nt
Filed under: uncultured bacterium
Lineage: Bacteria
Description: partial 16S ribosomal RNA
Rfam family: Bacterial small subunit ribosomal RNA
Source: RNAcentral
CACGUAGGGCGCAAGCGUUGUCCGGAAUUAUUGGGCGUAAAGAGCUCGUAGGCGGUCUGUUGCGUCCGCUGUGAAAACUCGGGGCUUAACCCCGAGCCUGCAGUGGAUACGGGCAGACUAGAGGUAGGUAGGGGAGAAUGGAAUUCCCGGUGUAGCGGUGAAAUGCGCAGAUAUCGGGAGGAACACCGGUGGCGAAGGCGGUUCUCUGGGCCUGCACUGACGCUCAUGCACGAAAGCGUGGGGAGCAAACAGG